GGCAGAAUAUCUUUCUCCACACGUUUCCUGAUGAAGUCACCACACAGACUGCACAUUGUGUGAAGUGCCUUCACUGCCUGCGCAGAUUUAACAGGUAACCUGCCAGUCCCAAGCGUGGAUGAAGGAGGAGAGUUGGGCAUGGGGCUAGCAACUCCACCCUGUAAAACAACCCUUGCUACGGAAACAGCAAAUACAACACAAGUACAAGAGCCUUUUGCGCCUCUAUGCUCCACUGGGGGUAAUUAGGAACAAGAAGAAAUCUUUCUCUGGGAAAACAGUAAUGUCUGCAGAAAAUAUAAAGUAAUAUCAAAGAAAAUGAAAGAGUUAUAAAGUCCUACAGCCUAGCAGAGAGGCAGUAUAUAUAAGUGGUUCACAGUGUCCCGGACAGGAAGAUACAACGUUUCACCACGUUUACCUUCCCUGAUAAAUCAUUUUUGCUAAGUGGCUGCUGGGUGGGCAGGUGGAGUUUCCAGACACAGGCCCCAGCCAGCCUAAAACCAGCAACCUUCGGUUUCAAUGUAAGUACACUAAUCAGAGGACUACAAAGCCUCCUCAGUAUGCAGUUAAAAUUCUCACUUUCAUGGUCUGCAAGGUCAAUACAUCCCUGAGUGACCACAUCUACUGCCAGCAAGACCAUCCGUGGAUUAUUUAAAGCCAAACAUUUUCAUCAUCUAAUGGCUCAUCAUCAAAAUUUUCUGCUGCCAGCCUUUGUUGAUGUCUUUCAAGGAGGACAGCUACUAGUCUUGCAGGAUCAAGGUGUUGUGUGACAUGAUGCUGUUUUCUAACAAGUUUGGGCUAACAUAAAACAGAGUACAUGAUAUUAAGCUAUCUAAUUUUUCCUUUAGGUAAUGAGCAGGAAGACCUAUGUUCGUGCUUCUUCAAAAAACAAAGAAGCGUCCCAUCAAUAACAAUAAAUAAUAAAUUGUUAUAAGCUGAAAUCAAAGAUCACUCUCAUAAACUGAUUUGUUAGGUUGGGAUAGCAAGAAAUAUUUCAAGAAUGAUUAUGUUGUGUUUUAUCAAAACAAAGGUGAUUCAAGAAUAAAGGUAUGGCAGGCACCAUGUUAAAUA
This is a long non-coding RNA of Pomacea canaliculata, 1068 nucleotides long. RefSeq lists it as uncharacterized. The record is from RefSeq and is a predicted model, not a curated record. NCBI's taxonomy places the organism in Eukaryota, Metazoa, Mollusca, Gastropoda, Architaenioglossa, Ampullariidae. The transcript is spliced from 3 exons.